GUGGGGAAUUUUGGACAAUGGGCGCAAGCCUGAUCCAGCCAUGCCGCGUGCAGGAUGAAGGCCUUCGGGUUGUAAACUGCUUUUGUACGGAACGAAAAGACUCUGGUUAAUACCUGGGGUCCAUGACGGUACCGUAAGAAUAAGCACCGGCUAACUACGUGCCAGCAGCCGCGGUAAUACGUAGGGUGCGAGCGUUAAUCGGAAUUACUGGGCGUAAAGCGUGCGCAGGCGGUUAUGUAAGACAGAUGUGAAAUCCCCGGGCUCAACCUGGGAACUGCAUUUGUGACUGCAUAGCUAGAGUACGGCAGAGGGGGAUGGAAUUCCGCGUGUAGCAGUGAAAUGCGUAGAUAUGCGGAGGAACACCGAUGGCGAAGGCAAUCCCCUGGGCCUGUACUGACGCUCAUGCACGAAAGCGUGGGGAGCAAACAGGAUUAGAAACCCCUGUAGUCC
This 450-nucleotide ribosomal RNA is filed under the name uncultured bacterium. RNAcentral's name for it is "partial 16S ribosomal RNA". It matches the Rfam family "Bacterial small subunit ribosomal RNA", at positions 354 to 796 of the family's 1533-position model. The record is from RNAcentral.